GAUGAAGAACGUAGUGAAAUGCGAUAAGUAGUGUGAAUUGCAGAAUUCAGUGAAUCAUCGAAUCUUUGAACGCACAUUGCGCCCUUUGGUAUUCCUUAGGGCAUGCCUGUUCGAGCGUCAUUUAAACCUUCAAGCUCAGCUUGGUGUUGGGUGACUGUCCGCUUCACCGCGGACUCGCCUCAAAAUUAUUGGCGGCCGGUACAUUGGCUUCGAGCGCAGCAGAAACGCGAACUCGGGCCCGUCGUAUUGGCUCCCAGAAGCUAUCUUCACAAUUUUGACCUCGGAUCAGGUAGGGAUACCCGCUGAACUUAAGCAUAUCAAUAAGCGGAGGA
Molecule: unclassified non-coding RNA, 332 nt
Filed under: soil metagenome
Description: partial contains 5.8S ribosomal RNA, internal transcribed spacer 2, and large subunit ribosomal RNA
Rfam family: 5.8S ribosomal RNA (bases 1-120)
Source: RNAcentral